Molecule: ribosomal RNA, 1658 nt
Filed under: Salmonella enterica
Lineage: Bacteria; Pseudomonadati; Pseudomonadota; Gammaproteobacteria; Enterobacterales; Enterobacteriaceae
Description: partial 23S ribosomal RNA
Rfam family: Bacterial large subunit ribosomal RNA
Source: RNAcentral
GAAUGCUGACAUAAGUAACGAUAAAGCGGGUGAAAAGCCCGCUCGCCGGAAGACCAAGGGUUCCUGUCCAACGUUAAUCGGGGCAGGGUGAGUCGACCCCUAAGGCGAGGCCGAAAGGCGUAGUCGAUGGGAAACAGGUUAAUAUUCCUGUACUUGGUGUUACUGCGAAGGGGGGACGGAGAAGGCUAUGUUGGCCGGGCGACGGUUGUCCCGGUUUAAGCGUGUAGGUGUGUGUUCCAGGUAAAUCCGGUUCACUUUAACACUGAGGCGUGAUGACGAGGCACUACGGUGCUGAAGCAACAAAUGCCCUGCUUCCAGGAAAAGCCUCUAAGCAUCAGGUAACAUCAAAUCGUACCCCAAACCGACACAGGUGGUCAGGUAGAGAAUACCAAGGCGCUUGAGAGAACUCGGGUGAAGGAACUAGGCAAAAUGGUGCCGUAACUUCGGGAGAAGGCACGCUGACACGUAGGUGAAGUGAUUUACUCAUGGAGCUGAAGUCAGUCGAAGAUACCAGCUGGCUGCAACUGUUUAUUAAAAACACAGCACUGUGCAAACACGAAAGUGGACGUAUACGGUGUGACGCCUGCCCGGUGCCGGAAGGUUAAUUGAUGGGGUCAGCGCAAGCGAAGCUCCUGAUCGAAGCCCCGGUAAACGGCGGCCGUAACUAUAACGGUCCUAAGGUAGCGAAAUUCCUUGUCGGGUAAGUUCCGACCUGCACGAAUGGCGUAAUGAUGGCCAGGCUGUCUCCACCCGAGACUCAGUGAAAUUGAACUCGCUGUGAAGAUGCAGUGUACCCGCGGCAAGACGGAAAGACCCCGUGAACCUUUACUAUAGCUUGACACUGAACAUUGAGCCUUGAUGUGUAGGAUAGGUGGGAGGCUUUGAAGCGUGGACGCCAGUCUGCGUGGAGCCGACCUUGAAAUACCACCCUUUAAUGUUUGAUGUUCUAACGUGGACCCGUAAUCCGGGUUGCGGACAGUGUCUGGUGGGUAGUUUGACUGGGGCGGUCUCCUCCUAAAGAGUAACGGAGGAGCACGAAGGUUGGCUAAUCCUGGUCGGACAUCAGGAGGUUAGUGCAAUGGCAUAAGCCAGCUUGACUGCGAGCGUGACGGCGCGAGCAGGUGCGAAAGCAGGUCAUAGUGAUCCGGUGGUUCUGAAUGGAAGGGCCAUCGCUCAACGGAUAAAAGGUACUCCGGGGAUAACAGGCUGAUACCGCCCAAGAGUUCAUAUCGACGGCGGUGUUUGGCACCUCGAUGUCGGCUCAUCACAUCCUGGGGCUGAAGUAGGUCCCAAGGGUAUGGCUGUUCGCCAUUUAAAGUGGUACGCGAGCUGGGUUUAGAACGUCGUGAGACAGUUCGGUCCCUAUCUGCCGUGGGCGCUGGAGAACUGAGGGGGGCUGCUCCUAGUACGAGAGGACCGGAGUGGACGCAUCACUGGUGUUCGGGUUGUCAUGCCAAUGGCACUGCCCGGUAGCUAAAUGCGGAAGAGAUAAGUGCUGAAAGCAUCUAAGCACGAAACUUGCCCCGAGAUGAGUUCUCCCUGAGACUUUAGGUCUCCUGAAGGAACGUUGAAGACGACGACGUUGAUAGGCCGGGUGUGUAAGCGCAGCGAUGCGUUGAGCUAACCGGUACUAAUGAACCGUGAGGCUUAACCUUACA